RNAcentral lists this ribosomal RNA (2392 nucleotides) under Staphylococcus aureus M1062. Its description in RNAcentral is "bacterial LSU rRNA". It matches the Rfam family "Bacterial large subunit ribosomal RNA", at positions 3 to 2393 of the family's 2925-position model. Lineage: Bacteria; Bacillati; Bacillota; Bacilli; Caryophanales; Staphylococcaceae. RNAcentral also lists the same sequence under 1 other name. The record is from RNAcentral.
UUAAGUUAUUAAGGGCGCACGGUGGAUGCCUUGGCACUAGAAGCCGAUGAAGGACGUUACUAACGACGAUAUGCUUUGGGGAGCUGUAAGUAAGCUUUGAUCCAGAGAUUUCCGAAUGGGGAAACCCAGCAUGAGUUAUGUCAUGUUAUCGAUAUGUGAAUACAUAGCAUAUCAGAAGGCACACCCGGAGAACUGAAACAUCUUAGUACCCGGAGGAAGAGAAAGAAAAUUCGAUUCCCUUAGUAGCGGCGAGCGAAACGGGAAGAGCCCAAACCAAAAAGCUUGCUUGUUGGGGUUGUAGGACACUCUAUACGGAGUUACAAAGGACGACAUUAGACGAAUCAUCUGGAAAGAUGAAUCAAAGAAGGUAAUAAUCCUGUAGUCGAAAAUGUUGUCUCUCUUGAGUGGAUCCUGAGUACGACGGAGCACGUGAAAUUCCGUCGGAAUCUGGGAGGACCAUCUCCUAAGGCUAAAUACUCUCUAGUGACCGAUAGUGAACCAGUACCGUGAGGGAAAGGUGAAAAGCACCCCGGAAGGAGAGUGAAAUAGAACCUGAAACCGUGUGCUUACAAGUAGUCAGAGCCCGUUAAUGGGUGAUGGCGUGCCUUUUGUAGAAUGAACCGGCGAGUUACGAUUUGAUGCAAGGUUAAGCAGUAAAUGUGGAGCCGUAGCGAAAGCGAGUCUGAAUAGGGCGUUUAGUAUUUGGUCGUAGACCCGAAACCAGGUGAUCUACCCUUGGUCAGGUUGAAGUUCAGGUAACACUGAAUGGAGGACCGAACCGACUUACGUUGAAAAGUGAGCGGAUGAACUGAGGGUAGCGGAGAAAUUCCAAUCGAACCUGGAGAUAGCUGGUUCUCUCCGAAAUAGCUUUAGGGCUAGCCUCAAGUGAUGAUUAUUGGAGGUAGAGCACUGUUUGGACGAGGGGCCCCUCUCGGGUUACCGAAUUCAGACAAACUCCGAAUGCCAAUUAAUUUAACUUGGGAGUCAGAACAUGGGUGAUAAGGUCCGUGUUCGAAAGGGAAACAGCCCAGACCACCAGCUAAGGUCCCAAAAUAUAUGUUAAGUGGAAAAGGAUGUGGCGUUGCCCAGACAACUAGGAUGUUGGCUUAGAAGCAGCCAUCAUUUAAAGAGUGCGUAAUAGCUCACUAGUCGAGUGACACUGCGCCGAAAAUGUACCGGGGCUAAACAUAUUACCGAAGCUGUGGAUUGUCCUUUGGACAAUGGUAGGAGAGCGUUCUAAGGGCGUUGAAGCAUGAUCGUAAGGACAUGUGGAGCGCUUAGAAGUGAGAAUGCCGGUGUGAGUAGCGAAAGACGGGUGAGAAUCCCGUCCACCGAUUGACUAAGGUUUCCAGAGGAAGGCUCGUCCGCUCUGGGUUAGUCGGGUCCUAAGCUGAGGCCGACAGGCGUAGGCGAUGGAUAACAGGUUGAUAUUCCUGUACCACCUAUAAUCGUUUUAAUCGAUGGGGGGACGCAGUAGGAUAGGCGAAGCGUGCGAUUGGAUUGCACGUCUAAGCAGUAAGGCUGAGUAUUAGGCAAAUCCGGUACUCGUUAAGGCUGAGCUGUGAUGGGGAGAAGACAUUGAGUCUUCGAGUCGUUGAUUUCACACUGCCGAGAAAAGCCUCUAGAUAGAAAAUAGGUGCCCGUACCGCAAACCGACACAGGUAGUCAAGAUGAGAAUUCUAAGGUGAGCGAGCGAACUCUCGUUAAGGAACUCGGCAAAAUGACCCCGUAACUUCGGGAGAAGGGGUGCUCUUUAGGGUUAACGCCCAGAAGAGCCGCAGUGAAUAGGCCCAAGCGACUGUUUAUCAAAAACACAGGUCUCUGCUAAACCGUAAGGUGAUGUAUAGGGGCUGACGCCUGCCCGGUGCUGGAAGGUUAAGAGGAGUGGUUAGCUUCUGCGAAGCUACGAAUCGAAGCCCCAGUAAACGGCGGCCGUAACUAUAACGGUCCUAAGGUAGCGAAAUUCCUUGUCGGGUAAGUUCCGACCCGCACGAAAGGCGUAACGAUUUGGGCACUGUCUCAACGAGAGACUCGGUGAAAUCAUAGUACCUGUGAAGAUGCAGGUUACCCGCGACAGGACGGAAAGACCCCGUGGAGCUUUACUGUAGCCUGAUAUUGAAAUUCGGCACAGCUUGUACAGGAUAGGUAGGAGCCUUUGAAACGUGAGCGCUAGCUUACGUGGAGGCGCUGGUGGGAUACUACCCUAGCUGUGUUGGCUUUCUAACCCGCACCACUUAUCGUGGUGGGAGACAGUGUCAGGCGGGCAGUUUGACUGGGGCGGUCGCCUCCUAAAAGGUAACGGAGGCGCUCAAAGGUUCCCUCAGAAUGGUUGGAAAUCAUUCAUAGAGUGUAAAGGCAUAAGGGAGCUUGACUGCGAGACCUACAAGUCGAG